Molecule: long non-coding RNA, 812 nt
Filed under: Homo sapiens (human)
Lineage: Eukaryota; Metazoa; Chordata; Mammalia; Primates; Hominidae
Description: HSALNT0264287
Source: RNAcentral
UCGGGAUCCGCGGCAGCAGCGGCUGCUUGAGAUCUGUUUCUGGGGCCUCUGGCGGUGGCGGCCUGGGGCGGCGCGACGGCUGGUGCGCAGGUACACUGAUGCUGAAGUACUAUGAGCCUUCGGAACUUGUGGAGAGACUACAAAGUUUUGGUUGUUAUGGUCCCUUUAGUUGGGCUCAUACAUUUGGGGUGGUACAGAAUCAAAAGCAGCCCUGUUUUCCAAAUACCUAAAAACGACGACAUUCCUGAGCAAGAUAGUCUGGGACUUUCAAAUCUUCAGAAGAGCCAAAUCCAGGGGAAGUAGCAGGCUUGCAAUCUUCAGGUAAGUUCCAUUUAAUCUGGUUGGUUAAUCAUAUGGCACAUUCCAACAAUGGGAAACUCAAUCUUUUAGAUCUCUGGCAAGGAAAAGCCUAAAUUGGUAAGUUACCUGUUGUUUUUAUUGUGACCCACUGGCAAAAUACUAUUCUGCAGUUGUUUCUAGAAAAGUUCGUUGUGCAGAGACAUUUGACACUUGCCUGGCAGUCAAUUGAAUGCAAAGGGAAAGAGCAGUUUUGCUAGCAGCAUCACCAGGAUCAUGAAUGUGUGCAAAGGAGCCCCUGACUCCUUACCAUUACAUAUCACAAAAGUCCAAAUUUAUACAAGAUUAUUUUCUUCUAUUAGUGUUCUUUUUUUUUUAACAAUACAAAACUAAUUGUAUUCAUUUCUUAACAUCAACUAUUUUAGCUUGACCAUAAUUUGUUACUUUUGAGAGUCACUGAAAUAAAGAGGAUGAAGUUAUAUAAUUUAGGUCUAUAGUCCCUUAUCCAUAAUUCC